Molecule: ribosomal RNA, 349 nt
Filed under: Clostridioides sp. ZZV14-6104
Lineage: Bacteria; Bacillati; Bacillota; Clostridia; Peptostreptococcales; Peptostreptococcaceae
Description: partial 23S ribosomal RNA
Rfam family: Bacterial large subunit ribosomal RNA
Source: RNAcentral
GGUCAAGUUAUUAAGGGUGCAGGGCGGAUGCCUUGGCACUAGGAGCCGAUGAAGGACGCGAUAAGCUGCGAUAAGCUUCGGGGAGUUGCACGUAAACUUUGAUCCGAAGAUUUCCGAAUGAGGAAACUCACUUAGAGUAAUGUCUAAGUAUCAUUAAGUGAAUACAUAGCUUAAUGAGGGGAACUCAGGGAACUGAAACAUCUAAGUACCUGAAGGAAGAGAAAGAAAUUCGAUUCCGUAAGUAGCGGCGAGCGAACGCGGAAUAGCCCAAACCAAUAAAGUUUUCUUUAUUGGGGUUGCGGACAUAUCUUAAACGAAGAGGUAUCGUAAUUGAAGAGGUUUGGAAAGA